RNAcentral lists this ribosomal RNA (477 nucleotides) under uncultured bacterium. RNAcentral describes it as "partial 16S ribosomal RNA". It matches the Rfam family "Bacterial small subunit ribosomal RNA", at positions 28 to 507 of the family's 1533-position model. The record is from RNAcentral.
GAUGAACGCUGGCGGCGUGCCUAAUACAUGCCAGUCGAGCGAACAGAUGAGGAGCUUGCUCCUUUGACGUUAGCGGCGGACGGGUGAGUAACACGUAGGUAACCUACCUAUAAGACUGGGAUAACUUCGGGAAACCGGAGCUAAUACCGGAUAAUAUUUCGAACUGCAUGGUUCGAUAGUGAAAGAUGGCUUUGCUAUCACUUAUAGAUGGACCUGCGCCGUAUUAGCUAGUUGGUAAGGUAACGGCUUACCAAGGCAACGAUACGUAGCCGACCUGAGAGGGUGAUCGGCCACACUGGAACUGAGACAUGGUCCAGACUCCUACGGGAGGCAGCAGUAGGGAAUCUUCCGCAAUGGGCGAAAGCCUGACGGAGCAACGCCGCGUGAGGGAUGACGGCCUUCGGGUUGUAAACCUCUUUCAGCAGGGAAGAAGCGAAAGUGACGGUACCUGCAGAAGAAGCACCGGCUAACUACGUG